RNAcentral lists this ribosomal RNA (247 nucleotides) under Hydnum tottoriense. Its description in RNAcentral is "partial 28S ribosomal RNA". It matches the Rfam family "Eukaryotic large subunit ribosomal RNA", at positions 1 to 237 of the family's 3401-position model. The record is from RNAcentral. Lineage: Eukaryota; Fungi; Basidiomycota; Agaricomycetes; Cantharellales; Hydnaceae.
UUCUGACCUCGGAUCAGGUGGGACUACCCGCUGAACUUAAGCAUAUCAAUAAGCGGAGGAAAAGAAACUAACAAGGAUUCCCCUAGUAACGGCGAGUGAAGCGGGAUGAGCUCAAAUUUAAAAUCUGGUAGUCUCUGGCUGCCCGAGUUGUAAUCUAGAGAAGUGUUUUCUGUGCUGGACUGUGUUCAAGUUUCCUGGAUAUGGAACAUCAUAGAGGGUGAGAAUCCCGUCCUUGACACAGACUUCC